CCCUUAGAUGUUCUGGGCUGCACGCGCGCUACACUGACGCACGCAACAGGUGCCUGCUCCGAGAGGACUGAGUAAUCAUUUGAGUGUGCGUCGUGAUGGGGAUAGAAUAUUGUAAUUAUUACUCUUCAACGAGGAAUUCCUAGUAAGCGCCAGUCAGCAGCUUGCGCUGAUUACGUCCCUGCCCUUUGUACACACCGCCCGUCGCUCCUACCGAUGGGUGAUCCGGUGAAUGAUUCGGACUUCAGCGGCUCCCCUGGGGUGCGCCGGAGAAAGUUUUGUGAACCUUAUCACUUGGAGGAAGGAGAAGUCGUAACA
Molecule: ribosomal RNA, 315 nt
Filed under: uncultured eukaryote
Lineage: Eukaryota
Description: partial 18S ribosomal RNA
Rfam family: Eukaryotic small subunit ribosomal RNA
Source: RNAcentral